Molecule: long non-coding RNA, 191 nt
Organism: Fukomys damarensis (Damara mole-rat)
Lineage: Eukaryota; Metazoa; Chordata; Mammalia; Rodentia; Bathyergidae
Exons: 2
Source: RefSeq, a predicted model, not a curated record
CUUCAAGUGCUGAGAUUACAGGUGUGAGUCACGCAUUUCCAGAGCUGGUGAUUGAGGGAGUGUAUUGCAUUCCUAACUAUUCUUGUGUGCAGUUUAACCAGGUCAGAACAAAGAAAACAAAUCUAAGUCUGGAAAAAGAAUUUAACUUGUGCUAGAAAGACUUUUUUUCCAACCCACGAAGGGCUUCAGCA